This 827-nucleotide ribosomal RNA is filed under the name uncultured beta proteobacterium. RNAcentral describes it as "bacterial SSU rRNA". It matches the Rfam family "Bacterial small subunit ribosomal RNA", at positions 66 to 889 of the family's 1533-position model. Lineage: Bacteria; Pseudomonadati; Pseudomonadota; Betaproteobacteria. The record is from RNAcentral.
ACGGCAGCACGGAGCUUGCUCUGGUGGCGAGUGGCGAACGGGUGAGUAAUAUAUCGGAACGUACCCUGGAGUGGGGGAUAACGUAGCGAAAGUUACGCUAAUACCGCAUACGAUCUACGGAUGAAAGUGGGGGAUCGCAAGACCUCAUGCUCGUGGAGCGGCCGAUAUCUGAUUAGCUAGUUGGUAGGGUAAAAGCCUACCAAGGCAUCGAUCAGUAGCUGGUCUGAGAGGACGACCAGCCACACUGGAACUGAGACACGGUCCAGACUCCUACGGGAGGCAGCAGUGGGGAAUUUUGGACAAUGGGCGAAAGCCUGAUCCAGCAAUGCCGCGUGAGUGAAGAAGGCCUUCGGGUUGUAAAGCUCUUUUGUCAGGGAAGAAACGGUGAGGGCUAAUAUCUCUUGCUAAUGACGGUACCUGAAGAAUAAGCACCGGCUAACUACGUGCCAGCAGCCGCGGUAAUACGUAGGGUGCAAGCGUUAAUCGGAAUUACUGGGCGUAAAGCGUGCGCAGGCGGUUUUGUAAGUCUGAUGUGAAAUCCCCGGGCUCAACCUGGGAAUUGCAUUGGAGACUGCAAGGCUAGAAUCUGGCAGAGGGGGGUAGAAUUCCACGUGUAGCAGUGAAAUGCGUAGAUAUGUGGAGGAACACCGAUGGCGAAGGCAGCCCCCUGGGUCAAGAUUGACGCUCAUGCACGAAAGCGUGGGGAGCAAACAGGAUUAGAUACCCUGGUAGUCCACGCCCUAAACGAUGUCUACUAGUUGUCGGGUCUUAAUUGACUUGGUAACGCAGCUAACGCGUGAAGUAGACCGCCUGGGGAGUACGGUCGC